Molecule: ribosomal RNA, 410 nt
Filed under: uncultured bacterium
Lineage: Bacteria
Description: bacterial SSU rRNA
Rfam family: Bacterial small subunit ribosomal RNA
Source: RNAcentral
UUGGGAAUUUUGGACAAUGGGAGAAAUCCUGAUCCAGCGAUGCCGCGUGUGUGAUGAAGGCCUUCGGGUCGUAAAGCACUUUCAGUAGGGAAGAAGGGAAACUUGACUGUACCUACAGAAGAAGCACCGGCUAACUCCGUGCCAGCAGCCGCGGUAAUACGGAGGGUGCGAGCGUUGUUCGGAAUCAUUGGGCGUAAAGCGCGUGUAGGCGGUCUUAUAAGUCUGGUGUGAAAGCCCGGGGCUCAACCCCGGAAGUGCACUGGAUACUGUUUGACUAGAGGACUGGAGAGGGAAGUGGAAUUCCUGGUGUAGGGGUGAAAUCCGUAGAUAUCAGGAGGAACAUCGGAAGCGAAGGCGGCUUCCUGGCCAGUAACUGACGCUGAGACGCGAAAGCGUGGGGAGCAAACAGG